CCAUCUGUUCGGUCCAAAUCGUGCACGCCACGUCGAGGUGCAACCGUCCACUUCGAGGCCAAGAAGACCGGGUUCCCGGAGGUGGGCACUAUAUGUGCAUACGCCAAACUGUAGCCCAAUUCAUUCUUAUGAAAAGGGUCUUUCGUUUAUAUUGCUGCGAUUCGUAGUUUUUUAAAAAUAAAAUAUCUCCCAAACCCUUGUAUUUCACAGGUCUGCCCCCUUAAUGAUCUGCAUUUUGUCGUGGCGAGCGUCUGCAAUCAUGCAAAGAAAACAACAAGUUAGACAACUCAACGGCGCAUUAUGGCACAUCAACUCCAGAUGAAGAAGGAAGAAAAGAAUUUCAUGAGUCAGAGAUUUAGUUUCAAUAUUGUAUCAGACAGUCCGUCACCAAAUUUCCUAACCAGUACGAGAUUAUUUCUCGUCAAUUUUCCUUUUUAGUUUUUUUUUUUUCUGUUUUUCUUAAGGACGUGGUACGCCUUACUGCCAUAGUUUCGACUUUCGGCUGUUUCUUCAGUAAUGCCAACGUGAUGACUACAUAUUUUAUCAACACAACAUCUAUUCUUUAUAAUUUUUCUUUCUUUCUACUUAUUUUAUAAUCCUAUUGGGUAUCAGUAAAGAAAUCAAUAUACCGGUAUUUAAUUCUAAAGGCUCAAUACUAUGAUUUUUACAAUCAAUCAAUAACGUAAGUGUUCGUGACAUUAUUCAAAGGUUGCCACUGGCUUGGCGCUAUUUUGUAUCAUUCCCGUGUAUUUCAAGCAUCAAAUUUCACCUGACCAUGCUGAAUUCACGGUGGCCAUGCAAUCGAGUCUGAAUUCGUGCGGGGUAUCAAACCCCGCACCACAAAACAGAAUCCCCACUACAUGGAGGCAUGUGAACUGCUUGGGGCCUGGGGCGCUGGGCCGCGGGACCUCAAUGGGGCUUUCUGGUCGCUCCUCUGUGAAAAGAUAAGUGGAAUAGCAAUCAAGGAUCAGGACGAGGCAAAGAAGAAGAUGGUUAUCAUUUAGAAAUGAUAUAGUAACUUACCCUUAACACGUGUCCCCGCGAGGGGAAAGGAAACCGGGGUAGAUGAGAGAGGGGGUGUAAAAGGGGGAUCUUCGUCCCCCUCUGACCAUUGAUCAAUCACCUCCCAACCAUCGGGAAUGCUGCUGCCCGAAAAAUCGGGCAGCUCCCCCUCGGAAACCUGUUCUUCUUUAACGUUCAUGUUCUUGGGAAACUGGAAAGGAUAGACUAUUGAUAGAAAGAUUCUAACAGAAAAAGCUAGAACAGAAAAUUCUACGGGACACAAAGCAUUACUCACCAGUGCGGCCGUGGAGCCGGGAGCCGGGAGUCUGGCGCGUGUGUGCACACAGACACAGUCGCACACAUAUACACACGGAAGGAAUCAAGGCAAUGCAAGGCGAUAUUUAAGUAAUCGAUGAUGAUAAUUGGAUCUAAAAGACAAUUCGUGCACAAGUACAAAUCUACAAACAUUAGUAUUCUACACAAAGAUGAUUGCAAUCAUAGCACAUAUGGUUCUAAUAAUAAGGGUAAUAAUCAAAAUUUCUUAAUCAAACUUUCUGAUUCUACAUUACCAGUGAGGAAAUUCAAAUCAACAAUACAAUAAUAGUAACAAUUAUAAGGCUAAUUAUACUACUAGAAGUCAUCACUGGAGUCAGAUUCGUCGGAGGUUAGCUGCUGCCGCUCCUUAAUGAAAGUCUGAACAGUGUAUUCAAACACCUGACCGGAGAAAGGGUCAGUAAACCUCCUUAACACCUGAACAUCACUCCUCACCCACGGUUGCGGUGGGUGGGGGAGGUCCGGGACACAAUGUGCCACUAUGUCCGUUAAAAGGCUGAUCCGAACCCUAUAAAGGAACAUGCUGAGGUUGCCUCGCAGCAUGUUAGGGUUUUCAUUGAAAAGUUGUACAUGGUCGUCUAAAGUCCACGUGUUCAGUCCAAGCAUUACAUCGUUAAAAUCAAGAGCUGUUUCUUCUUUCCACCUAAAUACGUCAUAAUUUUCUGACCACAAGUCGAUGGUUGAAAGCCCCCAGCGUACCCGGGGCUCGAGCAGGGCGUAACGAGGGUCAUGUGCAUUAUCCAUAAAUUCGAGUCCAUUCUCCGGCGAAUAUGCCUCAAAUUCUGAAGCUAAUCUCCGUAGGAGAUAAUGAUGGGGAGCACUGUUCAGGUAAGCCGCGAAUUCCUCCCACGGCAUUGCAAGGAUUUCCUCAUGGGACUUCCAGAUAAAAGGUUGUUCCGCCAUUCUACACAAUUAAGUUCACCACGUGUUAACAGUUGUCUUGCUCUAGCGGGACUGGGACGCCAGCGCCUGCAAGGUGCAACAUGAGAUGAUAUGUUUAUGUCAUCAAAAUCUCAAUGAGCUGGAUAAUUGGCAACAUAGCGCCCCUGGUCGUCGAAAAAUUUCUGUCCUGUAUUAGUUUCCCCAAGGCAACCCUUCUCAUUCAAUAAUUUUGUAAAUUUUGUAAGUUACUGGGCAGUCAUCUCAUCAAUACGUAUAGGUCGGUCGAUUCGUGAUUACGAAUUCGAGCCGGCCUCGCGCUGGACCAGUCACGGCCUCCCUGAUUCUAAUGCUGGAGCGGUGAGCUAGUCAAUCGACAUCCACUUUUCUGAGGAACUUUCUAGUUUUACUUAUAACUUUUUAUGAGGACAACAAUUUCAACCCGUAUACUUUACAGAAUAAUAAUCAUAAGCUAUCUUUGCCGAAAUCAACUAAAAUAUUACCAUUCGUGCGCCCAUACCGCGACUCACGCAGUCACCCCAGUAAACCCAAGCAGCCGUUGCUUUGCGGGCUCUGGACUUCUGUCCGUGUGUCGGAUUCUGUGCGGACGAUUAAUUUUGAAAUAUGGGAUAUUUAUUAAUUUUAUUCAUCUCGCAACAGUUCUCAACUUCGAGAAACUGUACUGUAUUCUUCUGAGGAAUCAACAGGUCUUAUUAAAGGUCAGUUAACCGCAGCUAAUCUGCCCAUCUUCGCAUUUUUCAUUCAUUCUUAUUUCAACUUGUUCAGACUUUUAUCCAGGUAACCGCCUCGGAACAGUUCUUACGUAUCGUAAGAAUUGAAACUAUUCCUAGACUCCCCGUCGAGCUCGAAGGUGUGUCAUACACACCUGAUCAAUUCUAUUUCUUUCUUUUCAUUAUUUUCUUUGCAAUUCAUUUUUCAUUAAUUCUCUUGUUAUCAAUUUUCCAAUAUAAUUCCACUGUCUAUCAAUAUUAUCGGGGCCCCUUCCAAAUGAAAAUAUAUCCACCUGGUCAAAACAUUUCAACUCUCCUUCUUACUCUACCUCGAACUACUAGGCCUUUAUAGUUCCCUCCGAACUCUUCUUAAAUCUACAGUUGAAAAGUUCUGAUCAUCCGAUGUAUUUUCAUUUCAUUGAUAGUCUUUUACUUUUCUGUCUAUAUUCUCACUAUGCCUGUGUUCCUAUUCAUUCUUUUCUUUCUUUCAGAAAUCUAACAACUUGCGGGGAUUGUGAGUCCUCCCACGAGAAACAAACUAAUUUUACCUUUGUCCUCAAGUUCCUGUGGUCGACUGUAAGCUUUCUUUAAGUGCGAGACGUGGCAGUUUCUUCUCCAUAUCACACCAUUCUUGUGGCGGAGUGUCACCAGGCCAAGAACUCAUGUGACUUUGACUGUGGCCCUGCGUCUAUUGAAAGAAAACGGGCUCGACCAAAACGGCUGAAAAAGUCAUUCAAUCCAUCUUCGAGCGCAAUCCGAUCUGCUUUCACACAUGGAUACAAACCCAGCAUGAAAACGUCUUAAAGAAUAUUGUUGGCUGACUCUGGUCCAUAUACCAACUUUUGACCUUCAGCUCUUCUUUCUCCGUUUUGAUGUAAGACCUUCAAGUGGAAUUCACCUCUCCAGAAUUCUCUUCUUCCGACUCAACACCAGUUUGAUUGUUUGAAGUUACCUUGGCACGUCUGGGACCAUCUAGCUGGCAGUAAUAAUACUUGUGACCAUCUUCUUCGCCAUAUUGUUGUGAAAAGUACCUGUACUGAUGUUUCCCUUCUUCAUCCUUCCAAUUUUUGAAGAGUUCCCAGUUCUCAAAUUUAAGUACUUGAACUGGUAAUAUUUUUGCAUCAUUGGAGUGUGAAGCCUGCAAAGAA
Molecule: long non-coding RNA, 4093 nt
Organism: Frankliniella occidentalis (western flower thrips)
Lineage: Eukaryota; Metazoa; Arthropoda; Insecta; Thysanoptera; Thripidae
Exons: 4
Source: RefSeq, a predicted model, not a curated record